Long non-coding RNA from Numida meleagris (helmeted guineafowl), 828 nucleotides. RefSeq lists it as uncharacterized. The transcript is spliced from 3 exons. NCBI's taxonomy places the organism in Eukaryota, Metazoa, Chordata, Aves, Galliformes, Numididae. The record is from RefSeq and is a predicted model, not a curated record.
CAUCCCAAGGGAGGCUCCUAACAGUAUUUUGGGAAUCUUAGCAAAUGAAAGGCUGUGUAUGUGGAGGAAAUUUAAGUAAUAAGCAUUGGCACAAAGGGAGCAGGGGAGUAAUGUUUACACAUUAAAAAGUGUAUGUGCCAGCACUUGAUAGCAGAGUCCAACUCCACUGCUAGUAAAUUGUUCUUCCUUAACAGAAAAGAAACAUGAUCUGCACUGAGAGGUUUAUAGAUCCUACAUACCACCUAAGAUCAGAGGUUUAUGAUCAUUAUCAGCAAUAAAGAGCGUGUACAACAAGAGUUGAGUCAAGUUUACACAGUUCUAUUCAGACUGAACAUCGCUUGUUGUGGGCUUCCCUGGAGCUUCAGUGAUAUUAUUCUCUUGUUUUUGCUGCUCCACCUCAACUGUAAAUUACACUUCCUAGCUUUAGGCUGAGCUGUUUUUUGUCUCUUUCCUUCCCACUAGGAGUCUGGCUUCUUCUGGAUAAUUUAAUAACUUUUCCACUGGAAAUAGUUUAUCAGUUUCUUAAGCAUAGUUAUGUUUUAUUGGCCUUAUUGUCUAUAUCGCUAUUUAACAAGAAUGGUACAAUGCCUUCCCAGUGGAUUUUCUAUGUCUCCUUUGUGUACAGAGUUUUCAGCAGUUUAAGUGUUUUCUUGUUGGUUUUGGUUUGUUUGGACUGAUGGGUUUUAUCCUGCUGUUUGACUGGCAAAUUGUGAUGUCAUCUCCAUUGCAAUUCUCUAGUCUUAUCAUUGAUUUGGUUGUCAUCUCCUCCCAGGGCUUUGAUUAUUUUCUAAAUGUUAGUCUUGAAAUUCUUCCAGUCUCCUUGUUAAU